This 531-nucleotide long non-coding RNA is filed under the name Gossypium raimondii (Peruvian cotton). Its description in RNAcentral is "long non-coding RNA (GRAI_LNC002809)". Lineage: Eukaryota; Viridiplantae; Streptophyta; Magnoliopsida; Malvales; Malvaceae. The record is from RNAcentral.
CUUGGCCUAUAUAUUUUCGGCCAUUUGGAUUGUUUAAGGUUAAUGAACAAUUUAUAUUUUGUGAGAAUUAAAGUUCUUCCUUUGUUCUUAUUUUGGCUUUGUGAGACUUAUCAAGCUAGCUUGUGGCGUCUUCCAAGUCUACUUCCAUCUUGAUAAUGUUGGUUCUUACCUUCCAUAGGUAACGGGUCACGUUCCUUAACACCACCACCCCCCUCUUUCCCAUUUCUUUGCAAUCCUUGCCAACAUAAGAAACGGGUCUGACUCUUUAGUCUGGGUUCUUUCUUCGGCUAAGUCUUAGUUCGUAUCAAUUUGGUAUCAGAGCAGGUUCGGGAUUUAAAAAAAAGAAAAGAAAAGAAGAGAAAUUCGGAAAAAAAAGUCUAGAGACCCAAAAUCAUCAUCUAUACCCUCCAAUACCCUUUGGGUGAAAUUUGACGCUAUAAAAAAAUUGACCCAAAAUUCCAAUUUUACCCCUGCACCCCUGCACCCUCAAAACCCUCCCAGAAUUCUGUAAACAUCAUUUUGAGUCAAUCC